RNA transcript from Mirounga angustirostris (Northern elephant seal), 24862 nucleotides. It is a transcript of the gene named plexin A2, with no coding region annotated. The transcript has 6 exons. The record is from RefSeq and is a predicted model, not a curated record. NCBI's taxonomy places the organism in Eukaryota, Metazoa, Chordata, Mammalia, Carnivora, Phocidae.
UGGGCUCAGCCGCCGCCGCCGCCACCACCACCACCGCCACCGCCACCGCCACCACCGCGGGAGCCGGAGCUGCCCGGCGCAGCGGCGUCCGCGCCAGACUGGAGCGGGAGGGUGGCCGAGCGCAGUUGCUGGGAAUUUGUCAGCCCGGAGGGGGAGCGAUCCGGAGAGAGACCCCGCGAGCUGGGGAGCGGUGGAGAGCGCGGGCGCCGGAGCGAGCCGAGCCAGCCCCGAAAUAGAUCUAGAAAGCCAGGUUCCUGGAGGAAAUGGGACUGUGACCGAACCGGGGAGCAAGAGGGGAAGGAAGCGCCGGGCUUGCUGAUGUCAGAGGAGCCCGGAAAGUCGCGCUGGAAAAAUCCUAAGACAGCCGGGGCUCUGCUGCUUCCCCAGGAGAGACACGGCCAGCCACCCCCACACGUCCCCUCGGCGCCUCCGGGUUCCCCCCCGCGAGCCGGCGACAGCGCGCGGCGGGGCUGCUGCGGGGCGACGGGGGACUGAGGGGCGCGCGGACCGGAGACCGAGGGGCCACUUCAGGAAUACAGAUAAGUGGCUGGCGGCUGGACGUGGAUUUUAAUGAAUUUGGACUCCAUGUGGAUUUGGUCGUCCCCGUGAUUGCGAGCUGCGGGCAGCGAGAGGGGCAGCGCGCCGCCCUCGGCAGCCGGCGGCCGAGGCGGACCGGCCGGGAGCGGAAGGACAGACCGACGUCGGCGAGCUGGAACCAUGUGAGGGCCAGCCCAGGAAGGUGGAGUAGAUGAGAACUCCGAGGAUCUGUGUCCUCCUCCCCUCCACCCCACUCAGAAUGGAAGAGAGGAGGCCCUGGCCACGCGCUGCAGAGGUUGACAGCUGGUCUGUGGUCCUGCUCUCCAUGGUCUGGGUGCUGCUGGCUCCCGGGGCGGCCGGCAUGCCUCAGUUCAGCACCUUCCACUCGGAGAACCGGGACUGGACCUUCAACCACCUGACCGUGCACCGAGGCACGGGGGCAGUAUACGUGGGGGCCAUCAAUCGGGUGUACAAGCUGACGGGCAACCUGACCAUCCAGGUGGCUCACAAGACGGGGCCGGAAGAGGACAACAAGUCCUGUUACCCCCCGCUCAUCGUGCAGCCCUGCGGCGAGGUGCUGACCCUCACCAACAACGUCAACAAGCUGCUCAUCAUCGACUACUCGGAGAACCGCCUGCUGGCCUGCGGGAGCCUCUACCAGGGGGUGUGCAAGCUGCUGCGGCUGGACGACUUGUUCAUCCUGGUGGAGCCGUCACACAAGAAGGAGCACUACCUGUCCAGCGUCAACAAGACCGGCACGAUGUACGGCGUGAUCGUGCGCUCGGACGGCGAGGACGGCAAGCUGUUCAUCGGCACUGCCGUGGACGGCAAGCAGGAUUACUUCCCGACCCUGUCCAGCCGGAAGCUGCCCCGCGACCCCGAGUCCUCCGCCAUGCUCGACUACGAGCUGCACAGCGACUUCGUCUCCUCCCUCAUCAAGAUCCCCUCCGACACCCUGGCCCUGGUCGCCCACUUCGACAUCUUCUACAUCUACGGCUUCGCCAGCGGGGGCUUCGUCUACUUCCUGACGGUGCAGCCCGAGACCCCCGAGGGCGUGGCCAUCAACUCGGCGGGGGACCUGUUCUACACGUCCCGCAUCGUUCGCCUCUGCAAGGACGAUCCCAAGUUCCACUCCUACGUGUCCUUGCCCUUCGGCUGCACUCGGGCUGGCGUGGAGUACCGCCUCCUGCAGGCCGCUUACCUCGCCAAACCCGGGGACUCCCUGGCCCAGGCCUUCAAUAUCAGCGGCCAGGAUGAUGUGCUCUUUGCUCUCUUCUCCAAAGGGCAGAAGCAGUACCACCACCCGCCAGACGACUCUGCCCUCUGUGCCUUCCCCAUUCGGGCCAUCAACCUGCAGAUCAAGGAGCGCCUGCAGUCCUGCUACCAGGGGGAGGGCAACCUGGAGCUCAACUGGCUCCUGGGGAAGGACGUCCAGUGCACCAAGGCGCCGGUCCCCAUCGACGACAACUUCUGUGGACUGGACAUCAACCAGCCACUGGGAGGCUCGACUCCAGUGGAGGGCCUGACCCUGUAUACCACCAGCCGGGACCGCAUGACCUCCGUGGCCUCCUACGUUUACAAUGGCUACAGCGUGGUUUUUGUGGGGACGAAGAGCGGCAAGCUGAAAAAGAUUCGAGCUGAUGGUCCCCCCCAUGGAGGGGUCCAGUACGAGAUGGUCUCUGUGCUCAAAGAUGGGAGCCCCAUCCUCCGGGACAUGGCCUUCUCCAUUGAUGAGCGCUACCUGUACAUCAUGUCUGAGAGACAGGCUUCAAUCAAACGCCGCGAGUCUGAUUCGUUUUGUUGUUUUGAUCAACACAAAAGAUGGCAACACCAGAGGAGCCGUCGUGAGGAGUUAUUUCCAUCCACUGAUGAGCAGGACAGUUGCUGUGAUGUGAAGAUACAGCGUCGGAGGUGCCAAGAGAUGCACCAAGCAUCAGCGAAGGGGGAGGGCGGGGAGGGGAAGUCAGCGAACCUUUCCGAGGAGCACGAUCUGACGUUCUGAGGUGCACAGCCCAUUCUCCACGUUCCACCCCAGGAGAGGGCGGGAGGUGGGUGCUGCCUGUUAGGCCCACUCGAUGAGGCUCCUUCCUCUGUGGCCCUGGGUUCUGGGUGCCCGUGUAGGAUGGGGGAGGAGCUGGGCCCCACUCCCGCUGGCUGCUCGUACCCAGGGCUCAGGCCCUUUACACAGGAGAGGUCCCAUGAACACAGGGUUCCCGUGAGAUGGGAAGCUGACCACGGGUCGCUUUCUCCACACACUGGCCUCUGCGCUCCUCAGCCAGAGGUGACCAGCUGUGCUGGCCUACCGAAACACAGGGGGCUCUUCCUCUGGCCAGCCACCCACACAUGGCUGCCCGUCAGACAACGGGUCUCUCGGGAGCUGGUCCUAGGGACGUUUAGAACCCAACUGGGAGCUGCCAGGGAGGUGUGUGGGAAGGGUGGUGGAGGGAUGGCAGGGGGUGACAGGAGAGUGACAGGGGAGUGGUAAGUUAGGGUUCUUAAUCCCUGGAGUUUCCCCCGUAUGUCUGAGUACAGGCCAACUGGAGCCUCAGUUUCCCUACCGAGAAAAUGUCUUUGAAUGUCUCCUGCGGCCGUGACAUUUAGCGCCUCCUUUCUGGCCAUGAGCCUGUGCAGGACAGAGGCUGACCUGGGUCUGGGAGUGUGUGUGCUUAUGAGAACAGCGUACGUGACAUGCGUCAGAUGAGAGCAGGCAUUCCUGUGUGUUCCAGGAGUGCGGAAGGGUAUCCACACUACACGGCUCUUUCAGACCACGGGUCAGGGCUGUGCUCACUGGGGGGAGAGCAGGGCUGUGCUCCUUCUCCUCAGGCUUGCUUGGCUUUUGGAGUCCCACUUGGCUGCACUUUCCAAGCUGGCCCUUUUAUCUUUCCGUAGCCUGCCCAGCUCUGGGACCCCACAUCAGGCACCAUCCCCAGUUCAUAGUGUGUGUGCCCCACAGUUAAAUUCCCUUUGCCACUCUGCACAGAGCAACCCUCCUCACUCCCCCUCCUGGUUAUUCCCACCCCCCUCUUCUGCAGACAGGUUGGGGUUUGAAAUUUGCACCAGGUGGAGGGAGAACUGGCUGUGUCAUCAGCUGUUGGGGGCUUAGCAAACGGUCUGGGUUCAGCCUCUGUCCCUCAAGUAAUGUUUAAUGAGAAGAGGGAAAUGGGCAGAGAUGAGAGUCAGGCCAGAGGAAGAUUGGAAAGAGAAAAAUGAACAGAGCUGAGAACAAUGUCUUAGUUAACCACUCAGCUUCCAAGUAAUUUAUCAACCAACCUUUGAGGACCUAUUGUGAGCAUAGAGCCCGUUCUGACAAAAUCACACAUACGCCAGGGAAACAGUAUUGUGAUACAGUGUGCAGAGCGCUGGGAAUGCAGGAGAGGGUGCUACCCAACAGUCUGUGAGUCAAGGAAGGCUUCCUGGAGGAGGUGUUGCUCUAGGUGACUCAUGAAAGGGGAGGAGCUCACCAAGUGGAUCAGAAGGCAAAGGAGUAUUUCUCAAGUGAAGGAAAGCACAGAGGCAUGAAAGAGUUCAGCAUAUUCAGGGAAUAGUCCCCCAGAUUUGAUAUUGUUGGAGUUGAAGGCAAGGGUUAAGAGGUAUCAGUCCUCGAAGACCAUCUAUAGCUCACAGGAAGCGAGAGGACUUCAGGUAGACUUAAUCCACCUGCCCUCAUCUCCACCCAAGAGAAGGUGCUUCAGGCUCCCUCAGCCCCUGCUACUGCCUCACAAAACUUGGGAGAAAACGAUCGUGCCCCAAGCUCCCAGUGUUUCCUCUUUGCUGACAGCAGCUGCCCCCUUCCCCCCCCCCCCCCCCCGCACCCUGCGCGCCAGGGAUCUGAGAGGCACCUUCAAGAGAAAGGAUGGCAGGGCGGGUCACAGCCCACCACCAAAGCCCUUUGUGAUCAUGCCAAUCCACACUGCCACUCAGGACGGCCGCUUCUCUAUACGGGGAGGAAAACCUCUGAUCAUCUCAGGUUCAGGGAAAGACAAAGAGAGAGACCGCGCUGCUUCAUUCAUUCAUUAGGUCUUUCCAACAACAUGUCUUGGUAGCAGAGACCUUUCCUCUCUGGGCCCCUUCUGUCUCCCUAAGAGAUACUGCAGUGUUUGGCCCUUACUAGGGGCUUAAUAAACACUUGUUGAAAGUUAGGAAGAGAGGGCGGGGAAGACAGGAGACAAGAAAAGAGAGAGCGCAUGGAAAGGAGACACUGUAGGAUAGUGUAAGGAGCUCAUCUUUGGGGGCAGAUCGGCCUGUGUUCAAAUCUUGGCUCUACCAUUCUUCAGCAGAGCCUGGCUUGUCCUCUCUAAGCCUUAGUUUUCUCUUCUGUAAAGUGGGGAAAACCAUAAUACCUGCCUUCUAAGAUCGCUGAGCUGAAAUGACGGAGCCCUGCAAAGUGGCUGGGACAGAGCAGGAGCCAAACCCUGGAAAUAGCUCCUUCUCUCGGGUUCACUCCCGAGCUCCCUGGUUCACUGCCACUGAGCCCCCCAUAACUAACAUGUUGCUCAUUUUUCAUCCUUAAGUCAUCUGCCAGUUGCAUCUAUUUCUAGCCUCUGUCUUAUGGGACAAGAAUAAGGCAGGGAAACAGAUAACUGCAGAGCCUCAUUUGCCAAUUGUCAGCUCCUGUCAUCCGCCCAGCUCUCUGCUGGCUUCUCCCUGGGUGCCUGGAAAAAUCACCGUGACCUUUUAUUUACUGGUUGAUGUAGUCAGCCCAGGUCUCUCUGCCUCCCCGCCCCCCACCUCCAGCCCACCCUCCACACUCCCACCCCUCCACCAGCCCAGUGCAGGCUUCUUGCCUCCCGUGCCCCUCAUCCCACCGCGGGGUGGGCACGCUCUGCCGGUCCCCUGGAGUCUCCCUGUCUUCAUGAUCAGAUUCUUAAAAACCUGCGGGCACAGACAAGAGGAAGAAGGAGAAUCUUCCCGGUGCUGGCACUAGGGAGGAUUUUUGCCUUUGAUCCUCUUCUGUAGGGCCUCCUCUUCGGUCCCAUUUCACCAAGGAGCCAAAAGGAGGUCGGUUUAGGUGAGCCAGUGACCCACCCCAGGCAAGACUCAGUGAGUCGCAGCAUUGCCUGGAAGAGUGGACGUUUCUCCCAGGCCCCAACCCAGAUUUUACCCUGUGAGCUUUACCGUGCAUCUCCUCUUCCAUCCCCUUCCCCCAAACCCCGCCCCUCCUUGCACCUCUUCUGGCUCCCAGCCUGCUCUAGCCAGAGGCUCUUUCUGCUUUUCUUCCUCUUCCUCCCUUGGCCCAGCCGUGCUGUCACCUGUGAUCCCCUGAGCCAAUUGGGCUGAGGUGUGCAGCCUCGGGGAUAUGGGGGUGGCCGUUGAGGGUGGUGACAAGGAGACCAACGUGGCUAACAAGUGGGUGCUGACAAAAAGACAUUCCACAGAGGCCCCGGGAGGCCAGGAAUGAGCCAGGCAGACCCAAAGUGCCCAUGCUUUGCUUAGCUGCAGGAGUUAACUAUGCAUACAGUGGGGGGGGGGGGGGGGGGGGCAGUGCACACGCACGUGUCUGUAUAUCAAAAACACCCAAAUUGGCUUCCCAAAAAAGUUACCCUAGGUAGAGUAUGGCUUUCUUGCUCCAUUGCCCUCAGGCCAUCUGCCUUGGACGUCCCAGAGGCUUCCUGGCCCAUCUCGGGGCCUGGCCGGCCGCACAGCUCCCUCAAAUUUCAGGGAAAGGAAUUUUAAAAGCCUCUUGUGCAAGUCAGCUCCCUGCUUUCCAAGCUCUCUUCUUGGCCCCCGCUGUCAGCACCAAUUUUCUGCAGGGAGUGAUUUAACCUUCAUUUAUUCAUUAAUUCUUUUUUCCCCUUAACUUCAUUAGGUAAGAUUUAUAAAGGUGCUGAAUUGGAAAGGUCACCUGUCCCUGGGCCCAGGACACAGUGUGCCUGCAUCCCUUGUCAUGAGCUUCCUUCCAGGAGCACUCUGGAGGGAUUAAACUGGUGACGUCAGAACACUGAGCGCAGGACGUGACACACAGCAAACACUGAAGAAACAGUAGCUUGUUAAGAAGAUCUUGCAUCGUCUCCGCCCCACCCUGGCAGCUCUAGCUCACUAACCGCUAGAGACCGGCUCGCAGGGAGUCGGAUUGCUCCAAGAAAGGCGGCCCACAUAGACCAUGACCGAUCCUAUCUCCAGAACCACAGGAAAAGCCUAAGCUCCUAGAGGAGCCAGAAAAAAACCAAGCCACCACUCGAUUCAGGAUUGCUUCCCGAGGCCCAGCAGAUUUCUGCAGGAAGCCAGGCUAAGCUGGCACCCGGCUCUCUGCCGUGGCCUGGCCACGCUCACCACCCGGCCCAUCCCGCGGUGGUCUGUAGUCCCGGGCCUCUCCCAAGCCUCUGAGGCCUGCUGGGCUCAGCCUUCAGCCAUCCCAUCUCAAGGAGCUCUCUCUCUCAUUAACAGCCUCCCUAGAUGAAGGAAAAGCAGACUCAAGGCUCGAAAACCAUGCCGGUAUUUUGAAUUUGUAGAAAGCUAAGAGUGUCCGCUCGCUGCCACGUCCCUGUGUCCUUGCUCCUGUGCCCCCAGCAGAACUCCGAGCCAUCCCAGUUCACUCCAGUCAGAAUGAAUUCAGCUCUCUGAGCUUCUUUAACUUCGUGGUAAAAACGACAGUAAAUACCCGGGGUCUCCCGCAUCAGGCUCUAAGCUUCUGGGAGACUGGAUGCAGGUCAGAGGUACCCUGGCCCCUCCUGGCACCGACCGUACACUCAAUCAGUGUUUGAGAAAAUGCCUUUAAUAGGAAAGCACGGAGGAAAGCGGGCAGGCAGACCUACUCUGUGGGCCAAGCUAAGAAUUACUGGGUUUGACUGUGAUCACAGAGGAUGACAAGAAUUUAUUUUAUUCUACCUAAUGUUCUUAGAGUUAGGGCCUCUGGAAUGCAACAUGCAAAUUUAUGCUCAGAGUACAAAUUGGAGCAUGCCCAGAUUAAUGGAGAAAAUUCUAGCCACCUCGCUUUUUCCAGAAUCCCCUUUCCCUCACCUGGGGUCCCCUGUUUGUUGGCCAUGCACCGAGAAGUAAUUUGCAAUAGAGGAAGGAACACGGGCUGGGAAAAUCUGCCCAGUGCCUCCUCUGUGGUAGGUGGAGUGAAGAGCAACGCUGAGCACUGGACAGCAAUCCCCCCCCUCCCCCGCCCACCCCGAGGAGCUCAGGGACUUCUGAACAGUAGCCACGGGAGACUUAAACUGCCAGUCUGGUCCCAGGGCGGUCCUCCUUGGUAUGCAGAUCACUUCACAUGUAUGAUAUUAGUUUGUUCUGUCCUCACGCUCCCGGAUUUAAUGAGAUUCUUUGGGCAUUGUUAAUAAACAAUGCUUGACCUUUUUAGAAUGGCAACAUUGUAUCGUUUUAUUUCGUGAAAUAGGGUCCUACACAACACACCAUUUGGUAUCAAUAUUGUUCCAUUUCAGAUGGAUUUAAUUCUAAAAAUGAGUUCUGUGAGUCUCUCAGUACCCACUGAGCUCACUGGAGAUACUGAUCACUGAAUAGCCCCGGUAGGAAGUGACCAGUAGUCAUACCUGGACUCCAAGGGCAUUCCUCAUUAGCGGAGUCCUUCCCUGGUUCUCCAGCUGUGGCUUCUAGCAUGGCCACCGUCCGUGGCAUCUAAGGACACUAGCUUGUAGCUCUGUCUUGGCCAGCCUGUGGACAACCUCCUCUCCCUGUGAUUCAAGCUAAAUCAGUACUGGGAUUUGUAGGGAAGAAAGACGGACUCACAUCACCAUCUUCCGUUGGGCUUCCCUGAAGCAUAAGUUAUCAGUCAGUGAUAGGUCUGGUUCCAUUUUGCACGAAGUCCAGUUGCUUUACCGGUGGCCCUAGACUAACAUCUAGUGGCCAUGGGCUAAUGGUGGUAGGUGGCAGUACGGGCCAUGAAGCAGGACACACAACUUAGUCUUUAAGUAUUCUCUGUCUCUAGGGUCAGCUGGACCGAAUAGAUACUGCCCUGUCAUUCCUGGAACUCUCAGCAUAGCUGCCCUAAGGGACACAUCUCGCUUCAGUGACAGAACAAAGGUGACUGACGUUUCCUGAGUCCAACGACCAGCCUCCUCCUUCUCAAACCAGAUUACAAGCCCCUCCUACCUCAGGGACUGCCUGUGGCCCAGGGGUCUCGCUUUCCUGCAUCCUAAGGCUACAGUCUUAACAUAUAAAAUUACUUUAAACAUAAACUAUGACAGAUAACCAUUAGAGGAGAGUCAUCCUUUUACAUUGUAAAAAUAGAGUUGGGAAUUGUCACUUUUAAGAGGUAAGAGAGAGACAUAUGGGCAGAAUACCAAGAGGCUCUCAUUUGCCUCUUAACAUUAAAUCUAAAUCAUAAAACCAUAGACAAGAGACUCUUACAUUUGGAUCUUAUUUUGUUUUCCUUUGUUCGUGAGAAACAUAUGGAGGGCGCAAAACGCACACACUCGAAACACGUAUCCUUUCCCUGCGCUUUGGUUUCCCCAAUGGUAAAAACGAAUGAAGACUCUAACCGGCUGGCCUCUGAGUCUAUAACUUUGGGACUGACCUGGAUUCAGUGAGCUUUGCGGGGUGAACUAUUGGACAGUCGCCGCUUUGACACUUGCUUAGGUGUGGGUAUAUGAAGCUCUCUUCCUUCACCUUUUUGGCUUUGAGUUAAGAAAUUUAAGAAGUCACUAAUAUAUGCUACAACACAGAUGAACCUUGCAAACAUGAUGCUUAGUGAAAGAAGCCAGCCACAAAAGACCACAUUCCAUAUGCUUCUAUUUAUGUGAAUUGUCCAGAAUAGGCAAAUGCAUAUAGACAGAAAGUUGGUUGCCUAGAGCUGGAACAGAGGCAGUUGUCCCGGGCUGGAAGAGGGGGGCGGGGGGGUGACUACUAAUGGGUACAGGGAUUCUUUUGGGGGGUGAUGAAAUUGUUCUGAAAUUGAUGUGGUGAUGGUUGUACGAUUCUGUGAAUCUACUAAAAACCAUUGAAGGGUACACCUCAAGUGGGUGAAGUUUAUGAAAUUAUGAAUUAUAAUUUUGUGAAUUAUAUCACGAUAGAGCUGUUAUUUUAAAAAAAAGUAGUAGGAAGGUGGGGCCAUAAUCGUGUGGCUACAACCUCACCUUCCCCUGGUAACCACCACCCAGACGGGCGGGCAUGGGCAGCCCACCCCAGAUGAUGGCAGGGGUAGCAUCCAAGAGGCCUGCCAUCUUCCUUCUCAUUUUCUUGUCCUUUUCCUGUCUUCUCCCUGCUCUGCUCCUGCCUCAGUUUCCUACUCUUCCUAUUCCUUCUAUCUCCCUUCUCCUUUAUCCUUCUCUCUCUGCUGAUCCCACCAGCCAAUUGGCUCUCCUUGACCCCAGGAGGCUGAAAAGGGGAGGGGACAAGAGAUAACAGUGAAAAUUAAUCAUAACUGUAAUAAUAAAUUAUAUUAUUAUAAGUUAUUAUUAGAGCUGUCUAGGACUUAAUUUAAUCUCCACAACAUCCUUAUUAGGGGGAUAAUUAUCUGCAUUUUAUAGAUGAAGAAACUGCGAUCAAACAAGCAGAGUAACAUGCCCAAGCUUGUCAGGAGCGAAACCAGAAUUCAAGCCCAGGUCUGUCUGGCCUCAGAGUCUAUUCUUUGCAGCAUGAUAAGACCUCAGAUAUGAAGUUGGGCCUGGUUAUUUAUUGAUGAAUUACAAUAAAAGUAAUUUGAUGGGGUUCAGAACUGCAGUAUCUAAGAUCUCAUCUGUUGGUCUGAUAUUUAUGGCCAUUAAUGGAUGAUAUCUGUGUGGCUCUUCCAUUCAUUAUGGUUUUCAUUAAGACUCUAAUCCUGUUUAGAAGUCUGUUUGUCAUUUUUAACUCCUCUGUUUAAUCUUGGGCAGCCCUAAUCCUUCUUCACGACAAACCCGAAGGAGACAGCUCCUGAUGGCUCUUCCUGCCCACAGUUGCACGCGGGCAGGGGUGGAGGGGGGCAGUGAGUGUGGUAGGAACGUCUGUGUGUUACGAGUGUGUGUGACAGGAAUGUGUGUAUGGAAUGUCAGCGUUAACGUGUGUGCAGUGUGUGUGAGGUGUCAGGGUGUUGCUGUGGAAGGUGAGUGUGUGGUAUGACGUGUGUUUGUGUUCCCUUGUGUGUUUGCGUAAGAACACGAGUUUGUGGGGGGGGUGUGUGUGUGUGUGUGUGAGAUGGUAUUCUUUUUUCAGAAGCACAAGAAUCCUUGAGUUGAGGUCCGGCCGUUUGCUCCCAAGCACAGGGACCACCUGCCCCUUCCCUUUCAGUGUGUAGAAAUCCUGCCAAGGGGAGGGGUUAUUGGGAAUCCUGGAAGGGAGAAGGGGCCUGUCCAUGAGGCAGUCUUGGAAGCCAGAGGGACUCCUGUCACUCAUCUGGACCUUGAGCCUCUCCUUAGAGCUCCCCCGCAGUGGGAGGGGAGCUCUCCCACCCGGCAUUGUUGGUUUAUAGGAAACUUCUUCCAUUGGCCUAUGGUUCCUUGAUGGAGGCCUAGAACGAUGUUAUUUAAAAUGUAUACUCCUGGUGGAACUAGUAAGAAAAGAAAUCUGAAUGGGGAUGUCCUUCUUGUGUCCUUUGCUAUCCCCAUAACACACCCCGAAGCUCAUUCUCUCUGCUUUGGCUUGUGAUGUUUUCCUGCCCAGGACUUUUCACCCUGCCUUCAAGUCCCACCCUUUCCAUGGAGACUUCCCUGCUCCUUAGCCCACACUGGACUCCAGCUUUCUUUGUGCCUCCCACUGACCCUCCCACCACACACAGGGCUUAUAAGAGGUACAAUGUUUAGCCCUUAAAAAUAUUCUAUCUUUGGCUCAGCUAGGCUUGGACUCCAGGAGACCCAUACCACACAUUUCGACUCUCUGUUCCCCUAGAGACUUUGGGCAUCGGGGCCGCCAGAUAUGAUGGUUCAGGUUGUGUACUGAACAGAGCGUCUGGCUGAGGACGCAAGUAGGGGCUGAAACAGAGUCCUCACCCAUCUCACCAACCAUGCACCUAGAGGGUCACCUUUUUCCAAUUGCACACAAGUGCUGUAACGGUUAGAGGUGACCCAGAAUGGGAGUUUCUGAGAGAGUUCAAUCCUGUUGUCUCAAGACCUCCAGUAGCAGCCAGAAAAAUGUUUAAUGAGGGCACAGAGAGGGCUGCCAUCCCUUCCUGGCCUCACGUCCUCUUCUGGAAGGCCUUUACCCCCUCUCUGAUUAAUCCCAUCAUGUUCUGAUCACCACUUAACUCCGCUUGCCCUUGCCCCGCUCCAGCUUAAUUUUUCCUUCUCAGCGUCAGCCUUUUAAGUAUCCUAAAUCUUGUUUUCACAUCUUUGUUAUCUCCUUCCAAUGAGUUAGCAAGCUCUAGGAGGGCAGAGAGCGUGUUUCCAUUUCCUUUGCUCUUGGGCACCCCCGUGACAUCCAUCCGAGCACUCCACCCCCAGUGGGGGCCAAGUCAGUGUUGAUACAACUGAGCCACCCACUGAAGGAGAAACCAAAGCUCUGUGCUCAGAGCCAGGGCAUUGACACCACUCCCCAAAAACCAGCUCAGCCAAGCAUCUCAGGAGACAGCAAACACAUCCAGUCAGCCUCCCUCCAGGCUGUGGACCUAGGUUAACCCUGAAAGGUCUGUAAGGAUUGGAAAGUUCUAGAAAAGCUCAGCCCAUCUCAUGGUGUCUCUCUAGGGUGAUCCGAAGUGCUGGACAGGGAAUUUAAGAAGUGGUCCCAGCCCUUCACCAGAUUAGCCUUUGGUUAUCACUCAGUGAGUGAUAGGUUAGAUUUCUGAUGACAGUGGCUUUGCAGCGGACUAAAGCUGCACUGUCUGGACCUGUGUUUGGUUUGGAUGACCGGCAGGCCCCCCGUGAAGGUGGAGCAUCCCAGGAAACGGCCCUUAGCUGGGUCUGUGACAUUAUGGCUUGACUGUUUCCCCGGCAGAACGAUGGAUAAGGCAUGCCCAGCAGCAGGAGAAGUAUCUCCUGCCUUGCCUUCCUGAAGACCUCCAACCCCGAGCCCUUGGCUGGCCCCCUUCACUUCCAUCCCCACCUUUCAGCAUCAAUGCCCCCCGAGCCUCCUCAACACACUCUCACACUCCAAAAUAAAGCAUUCAGGCCAUCGCUAAAUAGCAGUAUUGAUGCUCCAUUCCCACAUGCCCUGAAAUGAUAAUGUAUCACCCAUGGUGCGCAUCCAGACGGAGCCAGAUUACGCUCAGGUGGUUAAAAGUCCAGGUCUAAUUAGAGUUCCAGGGAAUCAAGCCAUUGUAUUAUUAAUGAUUCUCCAGCAAUGUUCUGAUUAAAACAGUAAUUUUAAUAAGCACAGGCUCGAUGCUAAGUGUUCACUGAGCACCUAAUUACAUCAGUUAUAACUCCAAAAUUAUUUAAAAUUCCCCUUUUUUUUCCAGCAGACCUGGCAUGCACCAAAUAAAAUAGAGACUCAGGCAACUUGGUGAUUAUUUGCUCUAAUUAAUUUCCUAAGCACCUAUUAAAAAAAAAAGGAAAAGAAUCUUUUGUUUCUCUUCCAUUUCCCCAAGUUCCCCUCCACCCCUUUCUAUCCCCAGCAGCUCCAUGACAAUGGUUCCAUCUGAGGCAGCCAUUGAAGGAGGCGAGGAAUAGAAAGCAGUGAGGCAAGUGAAGAUUCGAACAUUCCCCGCCACCGCCGUCCAGGAAGCGGGAGCGGCAGAGCUGUAAUCCCCGCUGAUGGCUCAGGCAGGGCUGGCCCUGCGUGCCAGGGGGGCAGGGGCCCCCAGAGGGCUUCUCACCAGGAACCAGCUCCUCACAACACCCUUGUCUUCAUUAGACCAGCUUGGAAUGUCACAUUUAAUGAUUGUGCUCGCAUCUCCUGAGGCCUCCCACUGGGGCAGUUCUCAAAUUCUUUUGACCCAUGAACCCCUUGAGUUGAAAAAGAGACUGCUGCACCCCCUGUCCACUCCCUGGAAGGACACCAGGGUUUCAGAGAGAACACUCAGCAGAAUCAUUUGAGAGUCGACACCCAGAGUUUUCUUUUUAUUUAAGAUCAUGUUACCAGGAGGUUAUCAAUAUGUCCCCAGAAGUAACACCAGCAAUUGCCCCAGAUGUGUGCAAUCAGCCUGAUCCUGAGCCAUGCAGGGUUGUGGCUCUCCCUUCGUGUGCCCGUCAUGAAAACAUGCAGUUAGGAACGGCGGUCCUUAGCAUUCUCAUGCCCGCCCGUACAUUGGCAGACAGCACCAAAACACUGCUCUAUUUUGUCUCCUCCGGGCCCGUUGCCUCUGUCUCCGGCACCUGCAUAGCUCAUCAGCUCACUCUUGGAUAGUAAUAUGAAGGCCUUUGAGUCUCAAACACAGUCUCCGUUCAGAGUUAUAUUGUCCAGUUCACCAAACCAGAAGUAAAAUUCUGACCUUGACCGAAGCUCAGAUCUCCCCCAUCCCUCAGCCUGGGCCUCCUGCACACUCCCCACCUGGAGCCACAAGGAGUGCUUCUGCUCUUUCUCUCACUUACCUUCCCCCACCCGAGUAUUGCUAUUGAAACCUUCGAGGAAGCAGAGAGGAAGGGUCAUAGAGACCCUUUUGCACUUGAAGUGGACUUGUCACAAGAUAGCCUCCUGCUCUCUGAGCUGGCUAGCACUUCUGCCUCUUAGGGGGCUGGGUCCUUCGUGGGCCCAUGGACACCCCUCUGCUGAGCUGCCAUGGCUCCAGCUCCCAUCCUACAGCUCCCUGCUCUCAGCCCUGAUUUUCCAGCUCUUCUGUCCACAUAGAACCCAACUCCAGGGGUUUGUCUUGGACAGGUCAUAAGAUGCUCCCAGGCCAGCUCUCCUUCCUGGGGUGUCCACAUCUGGAUCUGGUGCAAGAAAGCACUUGCACAUCCUCAGUCUGCCACUGUCACCGGGGUGGGGGCGCUCAGUGACUGCCCAAGGUCCUGACUUCACUCUGCCUCCUCAGAGCUCGCCAGCUGAGUCUCUGCAUUUCCCGCCUUCUGGGUUUUCCUGUCCACUGUGUCCCCUACAGUCCAGGGCGUGCAUCCCAAGCUUUUCAAGUGGUCCUAUUAAAGGGUGGCUGGCUAGGUUACAGCAUUCCAAGGGCUUCCUCCAAACAUCUCACAAAAUCGCCUCCUUUUCUUUCCUUGACCCCUGUAUUUCUUUGAUCUGGGACCAGGACCCAGGAUGAAGGGCAGAAGUAUCUUGAGAAUCUACUCUGAAAAAUUGUGUGGUCGUCGGCCAUCUUCGUGAGCUUGCUGUGUUCAUUUGCUGGAUGCUUUAAUUUUGAUAUCUGAUAGUAUUUACAAAGGUAGAAACUGAGGCUUAGAAAGGUUAAGUGGUUCACUCAGCACAGCUUAGUACAGGGUGAUGCUGAGCCAAGUUCUUCUAACUCAAACAGUCAUGUCCUUUCCAUGACAUCAUGCACCUCUGCUGGGUAAUAAACAGUAAGUGUCUUUAAAAAGAAAAAGAAAAAAACAAAAAACACUUCACAUCACCUAAUGGAUCCCAGCAGAAUGCCAGGGGCAUCAGCCACACCUAGAGAACCUUCACAUAGUUCUUAGUACAUUUACUUAAGAAGCUUAAAAUAAAACCUGGAUCACUGGGCAAGUGUGAUUAGCUUCUCAGCAGGUAUUUAUAGACCUAUUUUGUGUAAGAAAGUAAAGUUGGAGCAUACAGGGAUAUCUCAUACGAAGAAGUAAAAAGCAGAGCCCUAUGGAUACCCUAAAAAGAUAGAGUCCUAAGAAGAUUUUUUUAAAAAGUGCAUUAGAGUCCUGCCAACUGGGCAGGUGGUCAGAUUCUAAAUUCAGAGACAUCAUAGAGCUUGAUCAAGGAAGGCUGCAUGGAAGAGGGGAAGCCCAGGGAUGAGCAGGAGAGGGGAGGACGUUCUGAUGAGCAGGAAUGUGUGAGCAAAGUUAAGGAGGCAGGGCUGUGCAAAGCACGAGAGGCCACUGUGCCAGGAGUGGGGCGUUGACACUGACAGAGGGGGUCUAGAGUGGAAAUGUCAGCCUGGUGGCUAGCAGAAGUUAAAAGGCUCAAAAGUUGGGGGGCAUUUGGACUAUAAACUUCAUCCAAGAGGCAGUUUUUCUUGUUUUUUGAAAAAAUUUUUUACAUUAUUUAGGUUUUUUUAGCCAAGGGCAUCAUUAUAAAACACUGCCUCCUGGAAGCCUUCUGUGAUUUUCCCUUUACUCUUGUAGCUAUACUACAUCUCAGUCAUUCUGCGCCAAUAUUUCAUUAUAAUUGGGGAGGGCUUAUCUGUUUUACACUCUGAGUACCUAAAGAUUAGAGCCAUGUCUAUUCACCCUUUGAACUUCAUGCCUACGCAGCAUACAUAGCAUGUGCUUAGUACGUACCUGUUCAUAAUAACUGACCUCUAUAUCCUAGACACCAGCCUAAUGGUUUCCUAACCCAUGCCACCCUUCAUGCCUAAGAGACAAUUUAGUGUAGAAGUUUGGAGCACGAGCUCUGCAGCCGAGGCUCGAGUCCCAGCUCUACAACUUCCUGGCUGUAUGGCCGUAAAUGAAUUCACUAAGACGCUCUGCGCCUCCGUUUGUUCCUCAUCUGCAGAUAGUGAGUCUUUUAUAAAUAUGUGCUAUUAUUAUCCCCAUUUCACGAAUCAACAACUGAGGCUUAGUUGAGGAAGGUGCCCAAGGUCACACAGCUAAUCAGCGAAGGGGCUAGGACUCGGACCGGGGCAGUCUGACUCUAGGACCCAUGCCCUCAACCUUUCUGGAAGAAAAGAGAAAUGAGGGUAUGCGGGACACAUCUGGUGUGCGGAGAACAGAAUGGAGAUCCAUGGGGCCGACAGCCGCCAUCCUGCUCCGAGGAGGCUGGCCUGGAGCGGGGGGCAGGCGGAGGGGGCACCAGGGAUGCUCUGACAGGGACAGGUGGGGGACACGUGGUGAAAGAAGAAAUGCAGAACUUCUCCUUUUCCUCCUUUCUGCUCUGUUUCCACCACCUUGGCCUUCCACGAUGUCCCCUCAGUUCACCUUUCCUACCAGUUCCCUGCUCCAACAGUGCUCAUUCCUGGAAGCCUCUCUGCACCUCCUCAUGCUUGGUCUCUGCUCAUGCCCUUCUCUCUAUUCCUGCCUCUCUAAAUAUCACCAAGUUUCCAGGCCACAAAGGGUGGCACUUUCCCGGCCCCUAGAGAUGAUCACUCUCAGCUAGGAACCUCUCCAAUGACACUUGGACUUUCUAGGUUACCCCCCAGAGGGUAUGCUUCUUGAGGGCGGCAUAAGACCAUGAUAACUUGUCUUUGUAACUUCACCGUAUGAGACUUGAUACCUGGUCUGGUGGAUAUAUGGAGACACGAAUGAAUGAAGGAUUCAUACCAGGAUGGACUAACAAAUGAAUGAAUGAAUCAAUAAGCCCAUGAACAAAUAUAAGCACCAAUUAUAAAAAUCAAAUUAUAAGCACCAAAUUAUAAACAACCGAAUGCAGGUCCACUCAUGAAUGCAGCUUCCCAAGGUCAGCCAACCCCUCCUGACUCACCCCCGGGUACGGGGCACUGUGGCCCUGUUGUUGUUGCUGCCCCAGGGGAAUGGUCUUUAUCCAACCGACCAGUCUAUGCAGAUGCCCAGAGCAGCACGGCGGCUCAGGAUCCAGCAAAGCUUGGAGCCUUCCUGUCUCACACAUCACCACCUUGCCAGGAUUGCAUGAACGAACACGUGAACUCUAUACAGAAAGGAAACCUUUAAAAUUCAAUGUAAGUGUAGGAGACUCUUUUUUUCCCUCAGUCAGAGAUUUAACAUGUACUAUUAUCCACCAUCUCUAUCUCUCUGUCUCUUUCUCUCUCUCCACACACGCCCACACUCAUCCACUCACCUACUCACUUGUCCUAGGAAGCUGUGAGUGACAAGACACUCUUCUGUCCUUCCCAAGGGAACCAGACACUUGGCAUAUGACGAAAAGUCAGAGAGAACAUUUUCAGAUCUCAUGUGUCAGGGAAGACAAGAUGGCCAAGUCUCAGAUGGUUAGAAGAAUAGAGAGAUGGCUGAGAAGAUGCCCUCCAUGAGGUCCACUGGAAACCCAAAUUCUGUUUUACAACAUGAGGCUCCAAUGGCUUCUUGUCUGCUCAGAUCUAUACAACACCUGAGGUGGAGAGGUGGAGGCCCAUCUCAGAUCUAGUGCCUGUGGAUGGAGCGAAGCUGGCUCUGAUCUUUCUUAAUGUGCGUAGCUGUUGAUGAGGGUGUCCUGGAGGAGGGCUUGUGUGGUUGGGCUUGGCCAAACCUUAUACCCUUCAGUAGGAUUCCUCUCCUUAUGUCAAGGUGACCUGGGAACUUCAACAUGGGGACCCUUCGUAACCCCAGGAGCAGAUGCCAGGGAAGAUAUCAAGAGUGGGAAAUUCGUACACAAUUCGUACAGCCCCUGAGAACCUACAAGCUUGUGUCAAUAACCACGAGUGCCAACAUCAGAGCCAGAAGUGCAGUUGGGCACCAGAAUGCAGAAACUAGAGCUUGGUUAGAAGGCAAUGCCAGGGCCUCUGCCAAAAGGAGCUCAUUCUUAGGGUCCCCUUCAGGAGCAGGGAUGUCCUAGAGGCCCCCCUUCCCCUCUUAUACAAGGAUUCCCUGAGUCCUCAUCCCAAACCACACUAAAGGCAGGCCCCACCUUCUACUCAGACAACGGCGAAGGUGUUCUUAUUCCAGAUCCUGACAGCCUCUUCUUGGGCCCUGAUGAUUCCCACCACAAAGCUCACCUUCCCAAGUUUAUGCACCAUAGAUGAUUCAAAGAGAAUUUGGGAUUAACUGAUGCUCCACUCCCUCUCGUCUUGCUCUGCUGGUAACUGGAAGCAAGGGGAGCAGAAGUUAAGGGGAUGGAGCCCAGAAACCAGGGCCUAUAAGGCAGAGGCCCAGCUCUUAAAUAAAAUCAGUCUCCAUGUGGUAAGGUUAUACUCGGGCCCUGGGCAUCCAGGGGCCUCAGUGGGACCACCUGAACAAGUAGAAGUUUGGAGUGAAUGAACGGGAAUGGGUGGGUAAAGAGUCAUCCCUGCCAUGUUACUCCAUCCCCUUGCCCUCAUCACUUUUCCCCUCCUCAGGUAGACAAGUUGAUGUUGACCCUAUAGGGAACUUUACGGGACCUGGCUUGUCCUAGACAUCUCGAUCCCAGGUGGGAGAUCUGUUUCAGUUAUUUCUUAGGCCCCAUUUCUCAUCCCUGAUUUCCUAUCCCACCCGCUUUCCUUAACUGAAUAAACCCACAGUUGUCAUGGAGACAACAUAGUAUCCUCAUCUCUGCUGCUUUAUAGAUCCUCCCAUAAAACAAAACUAGAAAGGGCCCUAUGUCUACCUCCCUUGUAUUUCUGGCCCAGAACUCCUGUCUAAGAAAAUAUGUUAUGGUGCUUGGAAUAUCUACUUUGUCCAUUCGGUUUCCUACCCUCUUUGUGCUUUUCCUUUGCCCAAGUUUUACCUGAAUCCUUAGGAGACGAAGCUUGAUUUGACUUCUUUCAGCAGAGCAUCUUGAGUUUUAGUGCACUUUGGCCUCAAGGAGGGAUUAUGUCAUCGCGAAGGACAAUAGUUGGAGUGGCUGUACCACUCUUCAUGCAAAGGGCAGACAUACUUCUCCUCCUAGGACAGAUUAGCAGUCCCAGCCCAAAGAGCCUAGGUGGCUUGCCCAAGGUCACUCAGUACAGGAGUGCAGAGCCUGGGUGAGGGCCCUUUGCAGCUUUCCCGUGCAAACACUGCCACCUCCAGUGGGGUCUGCAGAUAAAGACUGAGCACGGUAAUAACUACCACUAUUGAGCACCAACUGUGUGCAUGGCUCUUGGUGUGCAGUUGUCAGUGAAGCCCCCAAACAACCUUGUGAAGUUGACAUCAUUAUCGUCACCAUCUCACAGAGAAGGAAACUGAGGUAGGGAGAGCUGACAACUUAAUGCCAUACAGCUUAUCAGCUGUCCCCUUCAGCGUUCACCUUCAGUACAAAAUAUGGCCUCUCGCUGAAAAAAAGGGGUCCAGGAGAGGCCACUGCUCUAGUGCUCAUCAAAAGGAUAAAUUUCACUGGUCGGGGCCAGAAAUUUCUCUUCCCACCGCCCUCUGCCCUUUGACUCCUGCAUAACCCUCAGCUGGGUUUUAUGAAUGAGGAGGAAAAACUGUCAUUGAAAAGUUCAACCAACUUUGGAUUCCACUCUCUGAGUGAUAGAUAGCUUUAAUUACUCCAAAUUACUCAGCUACUCCACUCUUCUCCCCCAAGUCAUUAAAAAUAGAUUUUCUCUUUGAACUCCACUCUGCCCUGGGUCCCCAGAUAGUCAGGAGUUCUUCGGAGGCAGCCCCAGGGUCAGCUUCUGGUCAGAAGGUUGCAUGUUGCUUUGGUUGCAGUCACAGACUCCAGAACCUCCAGCUGGUUUUCUGGGGGUCAGUGCCUCCUUUUUCUUAAUGAUAUUGAUCAUGUGACUUUUCACAGCUCUGAGGACAGGCAGGAGGCUGGGCCGGUGUUUACUUUAUGAGGAUUUAAGGAGGUCUCACAGAUGGCUAUUGAUUUUUGAAGAACUGAAUCUAACGCUGGGAACAAGCCAUAGUGAGUUCUUCACGUUAAUUACUGGGAGGUUGAUUCAUAGGAAUGACCGAAGCAGAAAAUGUGAGCUCAGGGAUGCUCUGCUCCCUGAUGAGCAGGUACUGUUGUGUCCACAAGAAAGGUAAGAAACUGGAGGCUUAAGAGGUGAACUGGGCUGCCCUAAGCCACACAGCUAACUCCUGGCCAGACCAGGACAGAAAGCACCUUCCACCUCUGUGCUGAGGGCUCUGUGACAUUCCUGGGAGGCUCGGGAUGGGAACUGUGCAACCUGCUCAGAGCCUCUCCUGCUAUUGGUCUGGGUCCUGGCCAGCUUGAAAAAGAACCGAGCAGGGGCUCUUCCACCUUCACCAGCCUCUCUCCUUCUCGGCACUCUGACAUCACCCCUUUUGUUGCGUCUAACUCUGGAUUCACCAUCUGAAUCGUUGCUAGCGAACAGGAGAGUAAAAUGAGCUAAGAGGCAUGCAGCGGUCAGAUGGGUGAUAGUACAGAUCUUCCUGGACUUAGGAUAGGGUGACGUCCCCAUAAACCCAUCGUAAGUUGGAAUGCAUUUCAUACACCUGGCCUACCGAACAUCAUAGUUGAGCCUAGCCUACCUUAAACAUGCUCAAAACACUAAACAUCAGCCUACAGUUGGGCCAAAAUCAUCGAACACAAAGCCUAUUUGAUCAAAAAGUGCCACCUGGCUCACAUAAUGGAUUGAAUACUGUACCGAAAGUGAAAAACAGCAUGGUUGUGUGGGCACAGAAUGGUGUUAAGUCUGCGGGUGGUUCACCCCUGGGAUCACGUGGCUGUGGUCACUGCCACCACCACCCAGCGCCACGUCCUGCUAGCCUGGGAGAGGAUCCAGAUUCAGAAUUCAAAGUACGGUUUCUGCUGCGUGCGUAUCUCUUUCACGCCAUCUUAAAGCCGAAAAAUCUGAAGUCAAACCAUCCUAGGUGUGUGACUGCAGUGUCCGAGAGCGUGCCUAGGCACUGCAGCCCGUGCCUGAUUUCCAGGAGAAAGAAGGGCGGCCCCGGCAGCCAGCCCUUGCAGCAGCCUCAAGGGGGGGGCCUUCCGUCUCCAGGGUGGCCUGUCUCCACCUUACCCCCUCAGCCCGGGAGCCAAACAAACCUGGACUCCAGGUCGGUGCCUGCCACACCUGCCAGGCAUGUGACCUUGGGUGGGUUAUGCUACCUGCGACUGUUUUCUAAUAAGUAAAGCGAGCCUAAGAAUACCGUGCCUGCGAAGUUGGCACAGGAUUAAAUGAGAUAAUAUACACCGUGUGCCUGGCAUGCAGUAGGUAGAAAGCUAUCAUUAUUAUUAUUCCUGCUGCCUCAUGCUGUUCCCCAAGCUCAGCCAACUGCUCAGCCCAGAGCCAGGUGGAGCCAGCCAGGAGCAGGAGACCUCAGGCCCUGUCGCCUCCUCACCCCUCUGUCCUUGGGGAGCAGAUCCACGGAGGGGAUCUCAUUGCUGCCCCAUACCUCUGGCCCCUCCCACUCCCAGCAGAGAGGUUUAGAUGAAGAUGCGGCUUCAGGCAUCCAGUAGACAGUUAGCUCUUUGCCCGAAAGGGCAUGAGGGAGAAGCUGGUUUUUCCCAUGGAAACUUGCUGAACCAUAGGCGAUGUAGCAUGAAGCAUGUCAGGAGCUGGUGCAGCCUGUCCUGUCCCUGGAGGGUCCACUGGGGCUUGGGCUGGGCACUGGGCUAGGCCUCUCCGAUCAGCUGCCUGUGUCCCUUUCCUGGUGAGGACUCUGAACCCUGGCCACAUCAGGUGUGAAGGGAAGGACAGAGCCCCAAGCCCUCGGGCCUCUCGAGGCUGAUUGCACCCAUUACCACGGGGCUGACGGGAUUUGGGGAAAGCCUGUGAAGAGAGACUCCACCCACCUAUCCAUCGCCCCAUGAACAACUACUGGGUGCCAGCAAGCUACACAGAACUGUGGGGAUAGAGAAGCAAAAGGCUUACCUGCCCUCAGAUUCCUUCCUGCCUCCUGAACCUGGCUCUGGGCUCACCUCAAACCUUGUCUACUGAAACUGUCCCCUGAACCUCCUGUCCGUCCUCAUCCUCCGGAAGCUCCUUUACAGUAUGUCACCAGCAUGGGCCAUGGAGGAGCCACUUUGCCGCUCACUCUGAGAUGGAGCCAGGGCUAAGCCAGCCCUUUGGGGACCUCUCUUUCCUAGUGGAUCAAAUGGAAAUCAUAAUACCUAACAGUGGCCGCCCUGUCUUCCUCCCUGGGGAGUUGUGCAGGUCAAAGGAGAUAAAGUGUGUGAAAGCACUCGGAAAAGCUCAAACUCUCCCCUGGUACGUGGUGUCAGUGCCACGGAUGGCUGUCCGCGUGCCAGGCCUGGCCGCGGCUCUCUUCAGCCUGCCCUCCACCGUGGAUGAACAAGAGCGUCAGCACUUUGCUGGAAAACAGGCUUGAAUUGGAGCAAAAGGAGAAAGUGGGUCUGAGACCUUCCUCACUGGAAGGGGAGAGGGGCCAGCUGGUGGGACCACCUAAAGAAGGUACAAAGGGAAGGAGCAAGCUCGGGGAGACAGUUGGGCUUCAGCUGCUGUGUGCUUUGCCCCAGGCCCCGAGGACCAGGAGGCUGUUGAUCGGACCAACUGCCUGCCCCCAGCCAGGCUGUGUGUGCCACCUGGCUCCUGGCCACUGAGAAGGCCUCUGUUUCUUUCCUUGUGUCAGGAGGCCGGGGACACGUGUGGGGACAGGUGUACCAUCUGGCGGGGGGGCGGCAGAUUCCAGGGAAGCAGGGCAUUAAAUGCUCAUUCUCUGAGGGGCCCCGGCAGCCUGGAGAGCAGCUUUCCCUGAUUGCUUCCUGGUCUCUGCGUCUCUCUCUUGCACGAUGGCAGGGGAAUCCCGCAGAGCCUCGGGACCACUGAGCGCCAUGCUCCCCCGAGGCGAACCUCUGCUCUGCGUCCUUUGAGCCAUGACUGUCUCUUGAUUCUACCUCUUUUGUGACAUCUAUCCCAUUGUGUUGAGAUUAUCUGUUUCCUUGGUUUUGUCCUCAAACAAACCAAGAACUCCAGGAAGGCAGAGAAUAUAGCCCCAGAGCGUAGCACAACAUAAAUGCUCAGUAAAUGUUUAAGGACUGUGGGGGACCCAGGCACAGUCCAUGGUCAGAAGCCUAUGUGUUCUGCUGCUUCACCUCAGAUUUUUCUCCAGUAGACCUAUCUGGGUUCUCAGAACCACGUAGCUCCUUUCAGGUGUCCACACAGGGCGGCAGAGACGUGGUAUUGAUUCUCUGUGCCCAAGCCCACUUGGCAAAGAGCUCUGGGUCCUCUGCCUACCACUGGAUGACUCUGAAGAGUGGUGAUGUGUUUGUACCUGAGGUACUCACUGUCCAGGGCCUCAGGGGCCUUCCUGGCCUUACCGCAGGUGGUCCAAACCCCAACAGUCUGCCAUGUUCUUCAAGAUCUGGAGGAAUGAGGCUGGUCCCAGCCAUUCCCUCAGUGACUUGCCGCCAUAGCCAAUAAUAAUCUGAUGUCAUGUCCCUGGCCGUGCAGAGCCUCCCACCCUGUGGGCUACGUGUUGUGCUAAGAAGAGGGAGAGUGAGGGGAACCACCCUAAACUCUGCACAGCCCCCCGAUCCCUUCCCACAUAGAGCUCCAAUCCUGCUGAAUCAGGCCAAGGAAGCCACUAGAGAUGCAGGGCCCCAAGGCCAGAGGAGCCAAGAACACAGUGUGAGUCACCUUUAAUUAAGAGCAUUUCUUAAGUAAAUGACUUAAUAAGACAGUUAUAUUCAUUAGAGGUAUAAUUACAAGACCUAAGAUCAAGCAGAAAAGAAUGUGGAGCGUGAGGGUGGAAUCUAUGGUCCCGGGGAGAAGGCGGUGGAGGGGUCAGGGGAAGGGCGUCCUCUGACUGGUAGGCUUCUCAUUGCUACGCUCAUUUCCCAGCCUCGCUACCCUUGGAUCCCAGCACUCAGCCAAGGGGGUGGGGGAGCCUCAGGCAUAAUUAAAAUGCAAUCAUAAUAAACAAACACUAAUUAAAGCGUCACAGAAUGUCCCAUUAAACUCUGAGUCAGCCCUGACAAAGUGCCGCCUUGACUCAGUGGAUGCUCUGCAGGAGAAAGCUCGAGCUCCUUCUUGAGCUUCUUGAGACCACUCCCAUCCCUACCCCGUCCUGCCCCACCCCACCCAGUCCCAGAGCAGGUGCCCGCCUGUCACUGGGGAUGCCGGAUGAAGCCUCCAGAUUUCCGAGAUUCGAACUUGGUCCGUUAGGGCCUCCAUAGACUCAGAGUUAUCAGGGCCAAUUUCUCCCUGGACAUAAAGCAGUCCCCAGAAUGCCCCCUUCUCCUGCUCCCCUAAAGCAGUCUCGUUCCUUCCAUAGCCCCAAAGCCAAGUUUUAUUCCAUUUCUUCCUGGCCUGGGGACCUGACAUUUAAAAAGACUCUCCCAAGGAGUGAGGUUAUCUGCAUCAGUGGUUCCCAAUCUUUCAGUCCUAAGAAUAGCUGGAGAGCUUGUUAGAACUAUCGCUCAGGCCCCAUCCCAGAGUUUCUGACUCAGUGGGCUCUGGGUUUUCUUGUCUCGUAAGCUCACAGGUCAUGCCAACAGUGCUGGGUCCAGACCAUGCAUGGAGAGCCGUUGCUCCUUCAGAGCUCCUGGGCCCCCUCUUUCUGGAGGACGUUCUUCUGGCCACGCAGUGGCAGUCUGGAGAGCAAAGCCACUUCAUACGUCCCCAGUCCCGUGGUCUUCCCUGUCCUUCCCAGCCUAAGCCAAACCUGUCUCUCCAGGUUUAUACCCACCGCUCCCUCGCUCUCACGCAAGGUUUGCUGAAGAAACUCUGCUCUCCCCUUCGUGCGGUGACUCUUUCCACCUGGAGCGCUCUCCAUCCAUGUCAAUGAUUCACCCUUCAAGACCCAGGCCCCUGCCUUGUUUUCUCACAGAACCUGCUUGGGACUCCCAUCUAGAGCAGCACUGGCCCAGAGAAACAAAGUGCAAGCUGCAAAUGCAAGCUCCCUGUAUACUUGCAACUUUUCUGGCAGCUAGAAAACUAGAAGUCAGAGGGAAGAAGUAGAAUUAAUAAUAGAUUUUAUUUAAC